UGUACUUUGUAUGGCCGCCGCACUUUCUCAGUGUCGUGUAUCUGGCUCCUGCUAUCAACUAUACCUGUCUUACCCCUGACAACACCACCAGCGUGUCAGAGGACUCGUGCAGCUACCUGAGAGUUACGGAGGAAGGGGCGGAGGUGUGGGAGGCUUGUACUGAAUGGGAGUUUGACACAUCUUUGUUCACCAGCACACUCACUUCGGAGUUCCAUUUGGUGUGCAGCCGGGCGUACCUACGGGCCACCUAUCACAGCAUUUACAGCUUUGGCUCCUUACUCUCCUGCAUACCAACGGGCUACAUUGCUGACAAGUA
This is a long non-coding RNA of Portunus trituberculatus (swimming crab), 316 nucleotides long. RefSeq lists it as uncharacterized. Lineage: Eukaryota; Metazoa; Arthropoda; Malacostraca; Decapoda; Portunidae. The transcript is spliced from 3 exons. The record is from RefSeq and is a predicted model, not a curated record.